RNAcentral lists this ribosomal RNA (383 nucleotides) under uncultured bacterium. RNAcentral describes it as "bacterial SSU rRNA". It matches the Rfam family "Bacterial small subunit ribosomal RNA", at positions 38 to 437 of the family's 1533-position model. The record is from RNAcentral.
AGGGGCGGGGGGCCUAACCCUGGCAAGUCGAACGCUCUGGGCAAUCAGAGAGUGGCGGACGGGUGAGUAACCCCUGUGGUGAUCUACCUUGGAGUGAGGAAUACCAGCGAGAACUCGCUGACAAUACCGCAUACCCUCUUUCACGAGAGGAAAGUCGUAAGACGCUCUAAGAUGAGCCUGCGUCCGAUUAGCCAGUUGGUGGGGUAAUGGCCUACCAAAGCGACGAUCGGUAGCUGGUCUGAGAGGACGAUCAGCCACACUGGGAUUGAGAACGGCCCAGACUCCUACGGGGGGCAGCAGUGAGGAAUUUUCGUCAAUGGGGGAAACCCUGAACGAGCAACGCCGCGUGCAGGAUGACGGCCUUCGGGUUGUAAACUGCUUUU